Molecule: transfer RNA, 74 nt
Filed under: Ipomoea nil (Japanese morning glory)
Lineage: Eukaryota; Viridiplantae; Streptophyta; Magnoliopsida; Solanales; Convolvulaceae
Rfam family: tRNA
About the family: Transfer RNA (tRNA) molecules are approximately 80 nucleotides in length. Their secondary structure includes four short double-helical elements and three loops (D, anti-codon, and T loops).
Source: Rfam by way of RNAcentral
GGUCUUGUAGCUCAGUUAGUUAGAGCGUUGGUCUUAUGAGCCGAAGGUCACGGGUUUGGUCCUCGUUAGGACCA